Molecule: ribosomal RNA, 166 nt
Filed under: Urocampus carinirostris
Lineage: Eukaryota; Metazoa; Chordata; Actinopteri; Syngnathiformes; Syngnathidae
Description: partial 12S rRNA
Source: RNAcentral
CACCGCGAUUAUACGAGAGGCCCAAGUUGAAUAAAAGCGGCGUAAAGAGUGGUUAAAUACAAGUUAACCAAAGUUAAACAACUUCAAGGCUGUUAGACGCAACCGAAGUAAUGAAAAUCUUCUACGAAAGUGACUUUAAACCUCUGACUCUACCAAAGCUGUGAAA